This 709-nucleotide ribosomal RNA is filed under the name uncultured bacterium. RNAcentral describes it as "bacterial SSU rRNA". It matches the Rfam family "Bacterial small subunit ribosomal RNA", at positions 8 to 692 of the family's 1533-position model. The record is from RNAcentral.
AGAGUUUGAUCCUGGCUCAGAAUCAACGCUGGCGGCGUGCCUAACACAUGCAAGUCGAACGCGAAAGUCCCGCAAGGGAUUAGUAGAGUGGCAAACGGGUGAGUAACACGUGGGUGACCUGCCUUCGAGCGGGGGAUAACGUUCCGAAAGGAACGCUAAUACCGCAUAACAUCCUGGUCUUUUAAGAGAUGGUGAUCAAAGCCGGGGAUUCGCAAGAACCUGGCACUUGAAGAGGGGCCCGCGCCUGAUUAGCUAGUUGGUGGGGUAAUGGCCUACCAAGGCAACGAUCAGUAUCCGGCCUGAGAGGGCGGACGGACACACUGGGACUGAGACACGGCCCAGNACUCCUACGGGAGGCAGCAGUGGGGAAUUGUUCGCAAUGGGCGCAAGCCUGACGACGCAACGCCGCGUGGAGGAUGAAGACCUUCGGGUCGUAAACUCCUUUCGAUCGAGACGAAUGUUUUUCGGGUGAACAAUCCGGAAAAGUGACGGUACCGAGAGAAGAAGCCCCGGCUAACUCUGUGCCAGCAGCCGCGGUAAUACAGGGGGGGCAAGCGUUGUUCGGAAUUACUGGGCGUAAAGGGCUCGUAGGUGGCCAACUAAGUCAGACGUGAAAUCCCUCAGCUUAACUGGGGAACUGCGUCUGAUACUGGAUGGCUUGAGUUUGGGAGAGGGAUGCGGAAUUCCAGGUGUAGCGGUGAAAUGCGUA